Molecule: long non-coding RNA, 302 nt
Organism: Galeopterus variegatus (Sunda flying lemur)
Lineage: Eukaryota; Metazoa; Chordata; Mammalia; Dermoptera; Cynocephalidae
Exons: 3
Source: RefSeq, a predicted model, not a curated record
CAUAAUGAAAGAGUCUAUUUUGAGUCCUCAAAAGUAGUGCUGCUGCAGACCAUGAGCAAGAGAGAACGAGUGGACUUCAGCCUGCACGAAUGAUCUUGAAUCACGAAUGGUCUAGGCAACUUACACUGAGAUUCUCUACUGCCGCCCUUUCUACUCAAGCAAAAUCUGUGUGGAAAGAUCCACUAGGAAGGAAUUGACCACCUGUGGUUCUCCGUUGUGAUGAAAGCACAUGGUACAGUUUUCCAAAGAAAUUAGACCAUUUUCUUGGUGAAAAGAAAUCAACCUGCCGUGUUCGUAGGGUA